This 503-nucleotide ribosomal RNA is filed under the name uncultured bacterium. RNAcentral describes it as "partial 16S ribosomal RNA". It matches the Rfam family "Bacterial small subunit ribosomal RNA", at positions 30 to 523 of the family's 1533-position model. The record is from RNAcentral.
AUUGAACGCUGGCGGCAGGCUUAGCACAUGCAAGUCGAGCGGGGUGAUGGUGCUUGCACUAUCACUUAGCGGCGGACGGGUGAGUAAUGCUUAGGAAUCUGCCUAUUAGUGGGGGACAACAUCUCGAAAGGGAUGCUAAUACCGCAUACGUCCUACGGGAGAAAGCAGGGGAUCACUUGUGACCUUGCGCUAAUAGAUGAGCCUAAGUCGGAUUAGCUAGUUGGUGGGGUAAAGGCCUACCAAGGCGACGAUCUGUAGCGGGUCUGAGAGGAUGAUCCGCCACACUGGGAAUGAGACACGGCCCCGACUCCUACGGGAGGCAGCAGUGGGGAAUAUUGGACAAUGGGGGGAACCCUGAUCCAGCCAUGCCGCGUGUGUGAAGAAGGCCUUAUGGUUGUAAAGCACUUUAAGCGAGGAGGAGGCUCUUUUGGUUAAUACCCAAGAUGAGUGGACGUUACUCGCAGAAUAAGCACCGGCUAACUCUGUGCCAGCCGCCGCCGUAA